Molecule: RNA transcript, 487 nt
Organism: Plasmodium vivax (malaria parasite P. vivax)
Lineage: Eukaryota; Apicomplexa; Aconoidasida; Haemosporida; Plasmodiidae
Gene name: internal transcribed spacer 1
Exons: 1
Source: RefSeq, a predicted model, not a curated record
UUUAUAUGUAAACCGAAAGGGAAUACAACUAUGUAAGAAAGUGAAUUUGGAUUAGUUGUGCAUUGUCAAUAUUUGAGGCGAAUAUUAUGCGGUGCACUUCGAUUCCGUUUUCAUGGAACGUUUAAGAAAAGGCGUUGUGAUUGUUUGGAAAUAUUAAUAAAGGGCAUAAAUUCUUCUAAUCCUGAUUUUAUCAGGGUGUAUAAAGUUCUUUUAUGGAAGAAUGUGCCCUCUAUUGUGUGGAAAAAUGUAUCGCCGUUUUUUUUUUUUACGUUCAACUUUACAACAAUUUUAAAAUUAUCAAAUCAAUUUUUACAUCAUGUACAUUUGUGUUUUUUAAUAUACAUAUAUGCUUUGUGUUUACUUACCAUUUUUUUUUGAGAGACUCAUGUGCCGGUAAAGCGUGAGCAGUGCAGUGUGUUUAUGUGCUUUUACAUAUAUCUUCAUCGCGCUGUAAGCGUCUUUUCCCACAGGUUUUAUCUUAGAAGAA